CCUACGGGCGGCAGCAGUGGGGAAUAUUGCACAAUGGGGGAAACCCUGAUGCAGCGACGCCGCGUGAAGGAAGAAGUAUUUCGGUAUGUAAACUUCUAUCAGCAGGGAAGAAAAUGACGGUACCUGACUAAGAAGCCCCGGCUAACUACGUGCCAGCAGCCGCGGUAAUACGUAGGGGGCAAGCGUUAUCCGGAUUUACUGGGUGUAAAGGGAGCGUAGGCGGUGCAGCAAGUCAGAAGUGAAAGCCCGGGGCUCAACUCCGGGACUGCUUUUGAAACUGUUGAACUAGAGUGCAGGAGAGGUAAGUGGAAUUCCUGGUGUAGCGGUGAAAUGCGUAGAUAUUAGGAGGAACACCAGUGGCGAAGGCGGCUUACUGGACUGUAAAUGACACUGAGGCUCGAAAGCGUGGGGAGCAAACAGGAUUAGAUACCCGUGUAGUC
Molecule: ribosomal RNA, 440 nt
Filed under: uncultured bacterium
Lineage: Bacteria
Description: partial 16S ribosomal RNA
Rfam family: Bacterial small subunit ribosomal RNA
Source: RNAcentral